AUGCAUCACCUCCUCGAGGCCUGCUCGUUCUCCCGUCAGGUUUGGCAUGAGAUCCUCGGCUGGGCUUGCAUGGCCGUCGACCUUCCAACUGAAGACACCCCCUUCCAAACCUGGUGGUCCUCCUACCUCGACCGCUCAUCGGCCCUCGUGCGAAAAGGCCUAUCCUCCCUCAUCAUCCUCAUGGCGUGGUGGCUUUGAAAACACCGUAACACGUGCAUCUUCGAUCGAGCCACUCCUUCGCUCACCUCUAUCUCCGACACUAUCAAAGACGAGGCGCGCCUAUGGGCAAAGGCAGGCGCCAAAGGGCUACUUAACAUCAUCCCUGGCGAGUAG
RNAcentral lists this ribosomal RNA (333 nucleotides) under Triticum aestivum (bread wheat). RNAcentral describes it as "partial small subunit ribosomal RNA". Lineage: Eukaryota; Viridiplantae; Streptophyta; Magnoliopsida; Poales; Poaceae. The record is from RNAcentral.